RNAcentral lists this ribosomal RNA (819 nucleotides) under uncultured marine bacterium. RNAcentral describes it as "bacterial SSU rRNA". It matches the Rfam family "Bacterial small subunit ribosomal RNA", at positions 56 to 923 of the family's 1533-position model. The record is from RNAcentral.
UGCAAGUCGAACGAAGUAGCUAUACUUAGUGGCAGACGGGUGAGUAACAUGUGGGUAUCUGCCCUUUGGCCUGGAAUAACACGAGGAAACUUGUGCUAAUACCGGAUAAGUCUUUACGGAGAAAGCUUUAUGCACCAUUGGAUGAGCCCGCACUUGAUUAGUUUGUUGGUGGGGUAAUGGCCUACCAAGACUUUGAUCAAUAGCUGAUUUGAGAGGAUGAUCAGCCACAUUGGGACUGAGACACGGCCCAAACUCCUACGGGAGGCAGCAGUGGGGAAUCUUGCACAAUGGAGGAAACUCUGAUGCAGCGAUGCCGCGUGAGUGAAGAAGGCCCUUGGGUUGUAAAGCUCUUUCGUCGGGGAAGAAAAUGACUGUACCCGAAUAAGAAGGUCCGGCUAACUUCGUGCCAGCAGCCGCGGUAAUACGAAGGGACCUAGCGUAGUUCGGAAUUACUGGGCUUAAAGAGUUCGUAGGUGGUUGAAAAAGUUGGUGGUGAAAUCCCAGAGCUUAACUCUGGAACUGCCAUCAAAACUUUUCAGCUAGAGUUUGAUAGAGGAAAGCAGAAUUUCUAGUGUAGAGGUGAGAUUCGUAAAUAUUAGAAAGAAUACCAAUUGCGAAGGCAGCUUUCUGGAUCAUUACUGACGCUGAGGAACGAAAGCAUGGGUAGCGAAGAGGAUUAGAUACCCUCGUAGUCCAUGCCGUAAACGAUGUGUGUUAGACGUUGGAAAUUUAUUUUCAGUGUCGCAGCGAAAGCGAUAAACACACCGCCUGGGGAGUACGACCGCAAGGUUAAAACUCAAAUGAAUUGACGGGGACCCG